This 263-nucleotide long non-coding RNA is filed under the name Neodiprion lecontei (redheaded pine sawfly). Its description in RNAcentral is "uncharacterized LOC124295222". The record is from RNAcentral. Lineage: Eukaryota; Metazoa; Arthropoda; Insecta; Hymenoptera; Diprionidae.
UAUGAUGUAGUAAACAACUGAAAUAUCAAAUAUUUACAAGAGUUAACAAAACGAUAAGUUAUUUACAUUAAUCGCACACACUUACAAACUAACCUGAAUCAAUACAGUUGCCGAUAGCAAACCUUUGUUAUGACUUUUGUAUUGUCAUUAGUGCUCGUAGCUCGGAGUCAUCUUUCAUACUGACUCUUUGCGCAUGAGCCAACGCGCGGCGCUACGUAGCUUGGUGACGUACCCAAGCUCUACAUCGCCCAGAUCGGAAAAGC